RNAcentral lists this ribosomal RNA (253 nucleotides) under uncultured bacterium. RNAcentral describes it as "partial 16S ribosomal RNA". It matches the Rfam family "Bacterial small subunit ribosomal RNA", at positions 524 to 776 of the family's 1533-position model. The record is from RNAcentral.
UACGGAGGGUGCAAGCGUUGCUCGGAAUUAUUGGGCGUAAAGGGUAGGUAGGUGGUCUUAUUUGUCUGGGGUGAAAGCCUUGAGCUUAACUCAAGAAGUGCCCCAGAAACGGUGAGACUGGAGUCCUGGAGAUGGUCGUGGAAUUCCCGGUGUAGCGGUGAAAUGCGUAGAGAUCGGGAGGAACACCAGAGGCGAAAGCGGCGACCUGGACAGGUACUGACACUCAACUACGAAAGCGUGGGGAGCAAACAGG